This 253-nucleotide ribosomal RNA is filed under the name uncultured bacterium. Its description in RNAcentral is "partial 16S ribosomal RNA". It matches the Rfam family "Bacterial small subunit ribosomal RNA", at positions 524 to 776 of the family's 1533-position model. The record is from RNAcentral.
GACAGAGGGUGCAAACGUUGUUCGGAAUUACUGGGCGUAAAGCGCGUGUAGGCGGCCCUGCAAGUCGGGUGUGAAAUCCCACGGCUCAACCGUGGAAGUGCAUUCGAAACUGCAGGGCUAGAGUCCUGGAGAGGAAGGUGGAAUGCUUGGUGUAGCGGUGAAAUGCGCAGAUAUCAGGAGGAACACCGGUGGCGAAGGCGGGUCUCUGGGCCGAUACUGACGCUGAGGAGCGAAAGCGUGGGGAGCAAACAGG